RNAcentral lists this unclassified non-coding RNA (391 nucleotides) under soil metagenome. Its description in RNAcentral is "partial contains 5.8S ribosomal RNA, internal transcribed spacer 2, and large subunit ribosomal RNA". The stretch from base 1 to 122 matches the Rfam family "5.8S ribosomal RNA", at positions 35 to 154 of the family's 154-position model. The record is from RNAcentral.
GAUGAAGAACGUAGUGAAAUGCGAUACUUGGUGUGAAUUGCAGAAUCCCGUGAACCAUCGAGUCUUUGAACGCAAGUUGCGCCCGAAGCCAUUAGGCCGAGGGCACGCCUGCCUGGGCGUCACACGUCGUUGCCCCCCCAUCUACUCCUUCGGGAUUGCGGGGGGCGGAUGAUGGCCUCCCGUGCGCCACGCCGCGCGGUUGGCAUAAAUGCCAAGUCCUCGGCGACGCACGCCACGACAAUCGGUGGUUGCGAAACCUCGGUUGCCCGUCGUGUGCGGUCGUCGCGCAUCGAGGGCUCGAAAAAAUUGCCGGGUUCCGGCUCGGCUUUCAACGCGACCCCAGGUCAGGCGGGGUUACCCGCUGAAUUUAAGCAUAUCAAUAAGCGGAGGA